Molecule: ribosomal RNA, 253 nt
Filed under: uncultured bacterium
Lineage: Bacteria
Description: partial 16S ribosomal RNA
Rfam family: Bacterial small subunit ribosomal RNA
Source: RNAcentral
GACGGAGGAUGCAAGCGUUAUCCGGAAUGAUUGGGCGUAAAGCGUCCGCAGGUGGCAGUUCAAGUCUGCUGUCAAAGACCGGGGCUUAACUUCGGAAAGGCAGUGGAAACUGGACAGCUAGAGUAUGGUAGGGGCAGAGGGAAUUCCUGGUGUAGCGGUGAAAUGCGUAGAUAUCAGGAAGAACAUCGGUGGCGAAGGCGCUCUGCUGGACCAUAACUGACACUCAGGGACGAAAGCUAGGGGAGCGAAUGGG